This is a long non-coding RNA of Pan troglodytes (chimpanzee), 3131 nucleotides long. RefSeq lists it as uncharacterized. NCBI's taxonomy places the organism in Eukaryota, Metazoa, Chordata, Mammalia, Primates, Hominidae. The transcript has 5 exons. The record is from RefSeq and is a predicted model, not a curated record.
GAGUAUUGGCCAAUCCCAGCAGCCAUACUUUAACCACUCAUAGACUGCUGAGUGUUCAGACUGUGUUCAAAUAAGGCAAACGCCAAGCUGUAACCAAUCCAGCUGUUUCUGUACCUCACUUCCAAUUUCUAUGGUGUCAGAAGUGGGGUCUGAAAUAGAGCUUCUAACGACUUCCAGGAGCACUGAGUGAACAUGCAAGGUACCUACAGGAUCAACUUGUGUCCAUUGAUCUCUCAGAGCAGCUGGAGAUCAUGGAACCUGAAGACUGGAUCUUCUGAGAAUGUCAGAGAAAGACUGUCCUUGCCAUCCACAUUGCAGCAAAACUUUGGAACUUUGAACUUUGGGUUCAUAAUCUCGCAAAUGAGAAGGGUCCUUCCACACUCUUGGAACUGUACACCCAUUGGAAUCCUUAAGAAAUGAAAAAGGGGGCCAGGUGUGGUGGCUCAUGCCUGUAAUUCCAGCGCUUUGGGAGGCCAAGACGGGUGGAUCACUUGAGGUCAGGCAUUCGAGACCAACCUGAGCAACACGGGGAAACCGCAGAAUAUUUGUAUGUUGAUAAGAAGGGAAGAAGAGUGGCUAGAUGUUGGAGUGAUACUAUGAGGAGGUGUGUGGCAAUGGGAUCUUGUAAACAAGUGGAGGGGAUGGCCUCAACUUUGAGCACAGACUUCUUCCAAAGAGAAGGUAGAGUAUGUGAGAAGAGAUACAGGUAGGUGGAUAAAUACGGUGAUGAGAAUUUGUGGAACAGUAAUUCUCACUUUGAGUGUACAUGGGAAUCACCUAGAUUAUAUUUUAAAAUACUAAUGCCUACCCCCUAUACACACCUAACACCUGAGUUUCUUAAUUAAUUGAUUUGGGUUCCAAACUGGGUAUUGAUUUUUUGUCUGUAUUUUUGUCUUUUUUGGUGUUGUUAGUACGGAGAAGAUUCUUGGGUGCAUCCCAGGUUGAGAACCACUGUAGUAUAGAAGUCCUCUUAAGAUUGCCCAAUAUUUUCCAAUAAAACAGAAAACAAAGUCUUCAGCUCAGAGAGUGAGGGAGGAAGUAUUGUGGUUUGAGGUGAAAUGCAAAAACUUAAAUCCAAUUUCAACUAGGCAACUCAAAGGUGACAUAAGGUCCCUAAUGUAACGAGAAAAAGAAAGAUUAGGGCAGAAUUGAAUCAGAACAAGUCUUCGUAAAAGCAAUAGGGAGAUGGAAAGAGAAAACAUAAUGCAUCAUCCCUGAGAGAAAGACAUCAAGGACUAGAUGCCAAAGGAGAUAUUUGGCAAAGCUAGGCCUGCAGUUUCUAUGGGGGGGUUGGCAGGAACAUAGUGUAGAAGAAAGAGUCAGGAAAACUGGAUUAUUAUCCUGGCCGCAUCACUUCAGCCCUUGUCUGUUGAAGUCAAAUGUGUUAGAUGAAUCGUAGUUCAAUUCUGUAAUAUCUAAUAUAAUAUCUGCCACAAAAGACUAGAGAGACCUAAGACAGUUUUUUGGGAGUAAUAUAAUUUUUACAUGCCAGUUCAAGACACUUGGCUCUUUCUUUAUAGGAAAGUGACCCACUGAAGGGAUUUGAAUAGAAACAUAACAUGAUCAAAAUAUUUCACAAGGAUUCAUCUGGAGGUGGCAUGAAGGAAAAAAUUAGGAAAAAAGAUGAAGGAAAGUUUGAAGGAAAUUAUUGUUGAUUUAAAAGUGAGGCAAUGAGUCUGCAGUGAAGUGGUGGCAGUGGGAAUGGAAAGGAAAUGAUGGAUGUAAGAUAAAUUUUAGAGUAAAAUUCAACUAAUUGGAUGACUAAUUGGAUGGAGAGAGCAGGGAGUCAAGAAUGACUCAGUUUUGUGCUUAGUUGUCUAGGCAAUGGUGGCAGAAUGAAUAAGAAUCAGGGAUCAGGAUAGAAGUUGAGGAAGGAGCUGAAUUUAGGCAGAAAGAUGACAAAUUUGUUCUUUGACACAGUUGUGCUUUAAUUUGCUACAGAGGUGCCAAUGAAAUGCCCACCAGGCAGUUAGCUAUCUGAGAUUAGAGCUCAGAAGAAAAUAUGACCAGGAGAUGGAACUGAUGAUUAACCACCAAAUAUUUUAUUGUUAUGGCCAUGAGAAUAAAAUCUUGAGAGAGAAGACCCAGUGAGAAAGCUGAGUUGAAGGGAAUUUCUGUGCAUGGUGUUAACCCUUCAGUUGGUGGAUUGUGGGGAGGAAGGAGGCCUGAGGGAUUCCAGUGAAGAAGCUGGCAUGGAAAUGAGGCAUUCAAAAAACCUGGGGAAGUGGUCCCUUAGCAAUUAGGUUGGAAAUAUUUGGAUAUUUUAACAACUUUUUUUUAGCUGUACCUGUGUGUGCAGGCCGAAUGAACACCAGUCCUGAGUAUAAACGAGGUCAAUAUUGGUUUAUACUAGGUAAAGCUGCAGCUAGAUCUUUCUCUUGAUCCUGAGUUCUUAAGAACCCAGGAAGCUGUGCUAAAAGCAGCAGUUAUGGUUCCUAUUAGGCAGCACUGGAGUGAGGCAAGAAUUAGCAUUCUACAUUUUCAACAGGCACCCCCAAAUGAUUCUGAAACAUACCAGCACAUUAGCAAUGACUAGGAGAGUUACUUGGGUAACUACCUUCAUCCAUAAGAGCAAAAGAGAAUGAGGAUCCAAACUCCAAUGCCAAUAAAAUAACACCUGAAUUAGGUCCACCCUUAGGGAGUAUUUACUUAUAUGCCACAAGCCCAGCAUCUGGGGCUACCUUACCAGGACAGUAAAAAUCUUGAGCUUCACAAUCAACAUAACUGACUGGCUGGGAUACAGGAAGCCCAUUUUUGUGAGAUAAACAUUAUGUGCUGUUGCAAAUAAAGGCCAGUGAAAUAGCAGCAGAUCAGGUUGCUUUGGAUUCUAGGUUAAUCUUUUCACCAUUUGGGUCCAUGAGAUUUCCCAAAAGCUAUUUUUUUUUUUCUUGUGGGAGAUGAAGGGGAAGGAGACCAUUCUGGAGGAUGAAGCUAUGUUACUACAUGGUACAAUUAAAACACAAAUUAAAGAUAGGUCCUAAAAAAAAUGCUCUUCGUAUCAAAAAUGUGCAGAUGUACUGUAGCUUUAUGUAGUCUGAGUCAAUUUCAGUGGAAAUAAAAACACUUAGAGUGUCAUAGAAAUAACAUUUGCUAAGGGAAAGUUGAACUGGCAGGACUGAUCUAAUUCUGAU